RNAcentral lists this ribosomal RNA (291 nucleotides) under uncultured bacterium. RNAcentral describes it as "partial 16S ribosomal RNA". It matches the Rfam family "Bacterial small subunit ribosomal RNA", at positions 338 to 627 of the family's 1533-position model. The record is from RNAcentral.
CCUACGGGGCGCAGCAGUGAGGAAUAUUGGUCAGUGGGCUUACGCCUGAACCAGCCAAGUCGCGUGAGGGAAGACUGCCCUAUGGGUUGUAAACCUCUUUUGUCGGGGAACAAAGGCGGAGACGCGUCUCCGGAUGAGUGUACCCGAAGAAAAAGCAUCGGCUAACUCCGUGCCAGCAGCCGCGGUAAUACGGAGGAUGCGAGCGUUAUCCGGAUUUAUUGGGUUUAAAGGGUGCGCAGGCGGGAGAUCAAGUCAGCGGUAAAAUGUCGGGGCUCAACCCCGGCCGGCCGU